RNAcentral lists this long non-coding RNA (1083 nucleotides) under Homo sapiens (human). RNAcentral describes it as "HSALNT0347729". Lineage: Eukaryota; Metazoa; Chordata; Mammalia; Primates; Hominidae. The record is from RNAcentral.
UGAGGGGCUUGGAAUUGACAGGCCGGAGGUGGGGCCCGAGUUCCUGUCUCCAGCCCACGAUUUGCCGAUCCAUCUGUCUUCCUCAGAGAGAGAGGGCGGAUAAUGCAGACUGCGCUUCCUUGGAAGACGGCAGGCUCCAGGCCAGACAAACGAAUGUAUCAACCAUACAGAUGAAGAGCUGAGGCUCAGGGAAGGAAUUUGCCAAGGUCACGAAGCUGUAAGACACAGAACCUGGGGUGUCUGCCUGUAGAGCUCACACUGACUCUACAGCCACUGAUCCAAAGCUUCAAUGAGCAAGAGAUGAAGUGACCCCUCCAACCCCACAGCUCAGCGUCUUUCUUGAAGCUCCAACUCCAGGGCCAUUGUUUUCCUGUUCUCCCCGCUCCAAGGCCUCUCCUCUCUCCUUGGCCCAACUCUCUGACAGUGAUGCAGUUCUGAAGGCCAGACGUCCAAAAUCAGAAUGGCAUUUGCUUGAAGGAUCCAGGGGAGAAUCCCUCCUUGCUUCUUCCAGCUUCUGGUGGCUCAUGGCAAUACCUUGACUUGUAGACAUAUCCCUCCAAUCUCUACUUAUGCCUUCAUAUCACCUUCUCUUCUCUUAUGAGAACAGUUGUCAUUGGAUUUAGGACCCACCCUAAUCGAAGAUGAUCUCACAUGUAGUUUAAUUACAUCUAUAAAAUAUGCUUUUCAGUAAGGUCACUUCCGUGGUUUGAAUGCCCCCUCCAAAACUUAAUGUUGAAACUUAAUCCCCAACGUGGCAGUACUGAGAGGUGGGGCCUUUUAGAGCUGGUUGGAUUGUGAAGGUUCUGUCCUCAUGAAUGGAUUAGUUCCAUUCAUGAAUUAAUAAAUUAAUAGGCUCAUGGAUUAGUGGGUUACCAUGGGAGGGGAACUGGUGGCUUUAUAAGAGGAGGAAGAGAGACCUGGGCUAGUACAUUAAGAUUCUCAGCCCCCUUACCAUGUGGCGACCUGUGCCACCUGGGGACACUGCAGAGUCCCCACCAGCAAGAAGGCUCUCACCAGACUUAGCCCCUCAACAUUGGACUUAGCCUCCAUAACUGUAAGAAAUAAACUCCUUUUCUUCAUAAA